AGAGUUUGAUCCUGGCUCAGGAUGAACGCUAGCUACAGGCUUAACACAUGCAAGUCGAGGGGCAGCAGGACGGUAGCUUGCUACUGUCGCUGGCGACCGGCGCACGGGUGAGUAACGCGUAUCCAACCUUCCCCUGAGUAGGGAAUAGCCCGGCGAAAGUCGGAUUAAUGCCCUAUGCUGUCCGACGAUAGCAUUUGAAUCGGAUGAAAGAUUUAUCGCUCAGGGAUGGGGAUGCGUCUGAUUAGGUUGCAGGCGGGGUAACGGCCCACCUGGCCGACGAUCAGUAGGGGUUCUGAGAGGAAGGUCCCCCACAUUGGAACUGAGACACGGUCCAAACUCCUACGGGAGGCAGCAGUGAGGAAUAUUGGUCAAUGGGCGAGAGCCUGAACCAGCCAAGUAGCGUGCAGGAAGACGGCCCUAUGGGUUGUAAACUGCUUUUGGAGGGGAAUAAAGUGGCGUACGUGUACGCCUUUGUAUGUACCCUCAGAAUAAGGACCGGCUAAUUCCGUGCCAGCAGCCGCGGUAAUACGGAAGGUCCGGGCGUUAUCCGGAUUUAUUGGGUUUAAAGGGAGCGCAGGCCGCCGAUUAAGCGUGACGUGAAAUGUCCCGGCUCAACCGGGGAGUUGCGUCGCGAACUGGUUGGCUUGAGUGCGGACGAGGUAUGCGGAAUUCGUGGUGUAGCGGUGAAAUGCUUAGAUAUCACGAAGAACCCCGAUUGCGAAGGCAGCGUACCAGGCCGUAACUGACGCUAAUGCUCGAAGGUGCGAGUAUCGAACAGGAUUAGAUACCCUGGUAGUCCGCACGGUAAACGAUGGAUGCCCGCUGUUUGCGAUAUAGUGU
RNAcentral lists this ribosomal RNA (840 nucleotides) under uncultured bacterium. Its description in RNAcentral is "bacterial SSU rRNA". It matches the Rfam family "Bacterial small subunit ribosomal RNA", at positions 8 to 837 of the family's 1533-position model. The record is from RNAcentral.